This 76-nucleotide transfer RNA is filed under the name Acetobacter sp. Its description in RNAcentral is "tRNA-Glu". It matches the Rfam family "tRNA". Rfam says of the family: Transfer RNA (tRNA) molecules are approximately 80 nucleotides in length. Their secondary structure includes four short double-helical elements and three loops (D, anti-codon, and T loops). Lineage: Bacteria; Pseudomonadati; Pseudomonadota; Alphaproteobacteria; Acetobacterales; Acetobacteraceae. The record is from RNAcentral. RNAcentral also lists the same sequence under 9 other names.
GUCCCGUUCGUCUAGAGGCCUAGGACAUCGCCCUUUCACGGCGGCAACACGGGUUCGAAUCCCGUACGGGACGCCA